AUUGAAGAUAUCAAGGUAGUAAUUUUUACUUUAAAAUAUUAAUAAAACUAGUAGUUUAUCUAUACAAU
Molecule: transfer RNA, 68 nt
Filed under: Scarelus anthracinus
Lineage: Eukaryota; Metazoa; Arthropoda; Insecta; Coleoptera; Lycidae
Description: tRNA-Phe
Source: RNAcentral